Molecule: transfer RNA, 72 nt
Filed under: Camelus bactrianus (Bactrian camel)
Lineage: Eukaryota; Metazoa; Chordata; Mammalia; Artiodactyla; Camelidae
Also listed under: 2 other names
Rfam family: tRNA
About the family: Transfer RNA (tRNA) molecules are approximately 80 nucleotides in length. Their secondary structure includes four short double-helical elements and three loops (D, anti-codon, and T loops). Further hydrogen bonds mediate the characteristic L-shaped molecular structure. tRNAs have two regions of fundamental functional importance: the anti-codon, which is responsible for specific mRNA codon recognition, and the 3' end, to which the tRNAs corresponding amino acid is attached (by aminoacyl-tRNA synthetases). tRNAs cope with the degeneracy of the genetic code in two manners: having more than one tRNA (with a specific anti-codon) for a particular amino acid; and 'wobble' base-pairing, i.e. permitting non-standard base-pairing at the 3rd anti-codon position.
Source: Rfam by way of RNAcentral
UGGAGUAUAACUCAGUGGUAGAGCUCAUGCUUAGCAUGCAGGAGGUCCUGGGUUCAAUCCUCAGUACUUCCA